Molecule: unclassified non-coding RNA, 350 nt
Filed under: soil metagenome
Description: partial contains 5.8S ribosomal RNA, internal transcribed spacer 2, and large subunit ribosomal RNA
Rfam family: 5.8S ribosomal RNA (bases 1-120)
Source: RNAcentral
GAUGAAGAACGUAGCGAAAUGCGAUACGUAAUGUGAAUUGCAGAAUUCAGUGAAUCAUCGAAUCUUUGAACGCACAUUGCGCCCGCCAGUAUUCUGGCGGGCAUGCCUGUCCGAGCGUCAUUUCAACCCUCGAACCCCUCCGGGGGGUCGGCGUUGGGGAUCGGCCCUUUACGGGGCCGGCCCCGAAAUACAGUGGCGGUCUCGCCGCAGCCUCUCCUGCGCAGUAGUUUGCACACUCGCAUCGGGAGCGCGGCGCGUCCACAGCCGUUAAACACCCCAAACUUCUGAAAUGUUGACCUCGGAUCAGGUAGGAAUACCCGCUGAACUUAAGCAUAUCAAUAAGCGGAGGA